Molecule: non-coding RNA, 73 nt
Organism: Paramuricea clavata
Lineage: Eukaryota; Metazoa; Cnidaria; Anthozoa; Malacalcyonacea; Plexauridae
Source: the annotation of a GenBank genome assembly
GACCGCUUAGCUCAGUUGGAAGAGCAUUGGGCUAGUACUCCAAAGGUCGUAGGUUCGAAUCCCACCGUGGCCG